RNAcentral lists this ribosomal RNA (253 nucleotides) under uncultured bacterium. Its description in RNAcentral is "partial 16S ribosomal RNA". It matches the Rfam family "Bacterial small subunit ribosomal RNA", at positions 524 to 776 of the family's 1533-position model. The record is from RNAcentral.
UACGUAGGGGGCAAGCGUUGUCCGGAUUUAUUGGGCGUAAAGAGCGUGUAGGCGGCCUGAAAGGUCAGCUGUGAAAGCCCAGGGCUCAACCCUGGAAGUGCACUGGAUACGACGGAGCUGGAGUACUGAAGAGGAGAGCGGAAUUCCCGGUGUAGAGGUGAAAUUCGUAGAUAUCGGGAGGAACACCAGUGGCGAAGGCGGCUCUCUGGGCAGAUACUGACGCUGAGACGCGAAAGCAUGGGGAGCAAACAGG